UCGGCAGUUUCUCUGGCAGACCUCUGCAUUUCGGCCAUCCGGGUUGCCAAUUGCGCUUCAGUUUGUCGCACUCUACGCGAAAAAAGCUCGCUGAGGUUAUCCAGGCUAACCUGCAGUCGAAGCAGGUAGGGGCGCAGAUCGUCACCAAAUUGAGCGAGAUUGCCGUUCAUCACAACCGCCUCAUGCGCAGACACUAUUUCGCAUCAUAUGCCUGCAGCGGAACAAAUUCGUCCAAAUUCUUCCAAAAG
This 248-nucleotide unclassified non-coding RNA is filed under the name Hevea brasiliensis (rubber tree). Lineage: Eukaryota; Viridiplantae; Streptophyta; Magnoliopsida; Malpighiales; Euphorbiaceae. The record is from RNAcentral.